RNAcentral lists this ribosomal RNA (233 nucleotides) under Clostridioides difficile. RNAcentral's name for it is "partial 23S ribosomal RNA". It matches the Rfam family "Bacterial large subunit ribosomal RNA", at positions 398 to 633 of the family's 2925-position model. The record is from RNAcentral. Lineage: Bacteria; Bacillati; Bacillota; Clostridia; Peptostreptococcales; Peptostreptococcaceae.
AGAUAUGAUCCAGAGUACCACGGGACACGUGAAACCCUGUGGGAAGCAGGAGGGACCACCCUCCAAGGCUAAAUACUACCUAGUGACCGAUAGCGUAUAGUACCGUGAGGGAAAGGUGAAAAGAACCCCGGGAGGGGAGUGAAAUAGAACCUGAAACCCUGCACUUACAAGCUGUGGAAGCACAUUUCUUGUGUGACCGCGUACUUUUUGUAGAACGGGCCAACGAGUUACGU